Molecule: ribosomal RNA, 116 nt
Filed under: Listeria monocytogenes
Lineage: Bacteria; Bacillati; Bacillota; Bacilli; Caryophanales; Listeriaceae
Description: partial 23S ribosomal RNA
Rfam family: Bacterial large subunit ribosomal RNA
Source: RNAcentral
GAUAAGGUUAAGUGAAUAAGGGCGCACGGUGGAUGCCUUGGCACUAGGAGCCGAUGAAGGACGGGACUAACACCGAUAUGCUUUGGGGAGCUGUAAGUAAGCUAUGAUCCAGAGAU